UGUUAGCUGGCAUGGUUCUUUAUACAUCAGGAAAGUUGCAAGGUGGGCUAAAUGAUUAGUGUCUGUAGUCACCGAGGACGUUGACUAACAGCAGGGGAGAGUGUAACCAGGUCAAAAAGAGAACAUGUAAAUCAUAAAAUGAACAUGUGAUUUAUCUUAUUUAAGCCCUGUGUUAUGUGUCCUGUGCAUAAAAUGUGUAUAAAUGCCUUUUUUAAUGUGUUGUUGAAAUGUUACGCUGGCCCUUUAAGAAACGGGACUGUAAUGCUGCGGGAAGUUUUUUCGUUUACUUCCUGUGUACAACGCGGUUCAAAAACGCAGUUUAGAGAGUGCACGUGCAGUGGGGAUUAUAGCAUCCAACACAAAAAAACACAAAAUAAGAAUACUAUAGUGAGAUAUAGUGAAGCUACAAGCUUUUGAGUGUUUUAUGUUAUUUGGAUGGCUGUGUAUUUUGCUGAUUGACAGCGAUUUCUGUUGAGAUACAUCUCGUGUGGUGUGUAAAUAGCACGAAAUUGAUUCUCAAAGAAGCGUAAGUGUUAACCUAUAAUCUGUAUACAAAGAGUUUUGAGACAAUUUUGUGUAUUAUGUUAUGUGGACCAGUGAUAUUGAAACAUAGUUAUUCUGUUUAAUUAAGAGGGGAGAAAGUGCUUCGUAAGGCUUCUGUGUGUUUCCUGGGGAGUGUGAAGCAUCAGAGUAAGUGUUGUCUAUCUUUAAAUAAUUUCACAAAAGGGGUUCAUGUGUCAUGUACAUGCAUGUUUUAUUGAAAUGAGUGCAAUUAUAGUGUUGCUUUCAUGUCAUGUGUUCCAAAUGUAAAAGGAAAGUUCUGUAUUCUGUUUCUUUUAUAUAUGCAGAGAAAGAACGAGUCUGUCAUAUGCUGUGAUAGUGUGUGCAUGUGUCAGAGGGGUGAUAAAAAGGCUGCUACCGUUGUCUAUGUUAGCUAGUUAAACAAAGAGAAUUCUGUCUUUUACUAAUGUGAAUGGGAAAAAGGACAUACACACUGUGAUAAGAGAAGAAAACUUUAUUUUUUUAUUUUAUUUCCACAAACUUUAUUUACAAGCUUUACCUUUCCAUCUCUGCAACUCCAAAGUUUGCAAAAUUAACGCUGCACCGCCUAACGUGCAGUCUGAAAUAAAAGAUCCCCGUUUAAAUUUUA
Misgurnus anguillicaudatus (oriental weatherfish) is the source of this 1150-nucleotide non-coding RNA. The record is from RefSeq and is a predicted model, not a curated record. NCBI's taxonomy places the organism in Eukaryota, Metazoa, Chordata, Actinopteri, Cypriniformes, Cobitidae.